RNAcentral lists this ribosomal RNA (492 nucleotides) under uncultured bacterium. RNAcentral's name for it is "partial 16S ribosomal RNA". It matches the Rfam family "Bacterial small subunit ribosomal RNA", at positions 29 to 507 of the family's 1533-position model. The record is from RNAcentral.
AGUGAACGCUGGCGGUAGGCCUAACACAUGCAAGUCGAACGGCAGCACAGUAAGAGCUUGCUCUUACGGGUGGCGAGUGGCGGACGGGUGAGGAAUACAUCGGAAUCUACUUUUUCGUGGGGGAUAACGUAGGGAAACUUACGCUAAUACCGCAUACGACCUACGGGUGAAAGCAGGGGAUCUUCGGACCUUGCGCGAUUGAAUGAGCCGAUGUCGGAUUAGCUAGUUGGCGGGGUAAAGGCCCACCAAGGCGACGAUCCGUAGCUGGUCUGAGAGGAUGAUAAGCCCCACUGGAACUGAGACACGACCCAGACUCCUCCGGGAGGCAGCAGUGGGGAAUAUUGGACAAUGGGCGAAAGCCUGACCCCGCCAUGCCGCGGGUGUGAAGAGGGCCUUCGGUUUGAAAAGCCUUUUUGUGGGGAAGAAAAAGCAGCAGUUUAAUCCCCUGCUGUUUUGACGUUCCCAAAAGAAUAAGCACCGGCAAACUUGGUC